Molecule: ribosomal RNA, 303 nt
Filed under: uncultured bacterium
Lineage: Bacteria
Description: partial 16S ribosomal RNA
Rfam family: Bacterial small subunit ribosomal RNA
Source: RNAcentral
AGCAGCAGCCGCGGUAAUACAGAGGAUGCAAGCGUUAUCCGGAAUUACUGGGCGUAAAGCGCACGUAGGCGGAUCAGAAAGUCAGAGGUGAAAUCCCAGGGCUCAACCUUGGAACUGCCUUUGAAACUCCUGAUCUUGAGGUCGAGAGAGGUGAGCGGAAUUCCGAGUGUAGAGGUGAAAUUCGUAGAUAUUCGGAGGAACACCAGUGGCGAAGGCGGCUCACUGGCUCGAUACUGACGCUGAGGUGCGAAAGCGUGGGGAGCAAACAGGAUUAGAGACCCCGGUAGUCCCUGUCUCUUAUAC